AGGGUUUGAUCAUGGGCUCAGAAUCAACGCUGGCGGCGUGCCUAACACAUGCAAGUCGAGCGAGAAAGGGAGCUUCGGUUCCUGAGUAGAGCGGCGGACGGGUGAGUAACACGUGGGUAAUCUACCCUCGGGUGGGGAAUAACUCAGGGAAACCUGGGCUAAUUCCGCAUGAUAUUUUCGAUACACACGUAUUGGAAAUCAAAGCUGGGGACCCUUCGGGGCCUGGCGCCUGGGGAGGAGCCCGCGGCCAAUUAGCUUGUUGGUGGGGUAAUGGCCCACCAAGGCUCCGAUUGGUAGCCGGCCUGAGAGGGCGGACGGUCACACUGGGACUGAGACACGGCCCAGACUCCUACGGGAGGCAGCAGUGGGGAAUUUUUGUCAAUGGGGGAAACCCUGAACAAGCAACGCCGCGUGGAGGACGAAGACCCUCGGGUUGUAAACUCCUGUCGGAGGGGACGAAGGUGUCGUUGGUUAAUACCCAGCAGCAUUGACGGUACCCUACGAGGAAGCCCCGGCUAACUCCGUGCCAGCACCGCGGUAAUACGGGGGGGGCAAGCGUUGUUCGGAAUUACUGGGCGUAAAGGGCGCGUANGCGGACCANACAUUCUCUCGUGGAAAUCCCACGGCUUCACCGUGGAACUGCGGGAGAU
This 650-nucleotide ribosomal RNA is filed under the name uncultured Acidobacterium sp. Its description in RNAcentral is "bacterial SSU rRNA". It matches the Rfam family "Bacterial small subunit ribosomal RNA", at positions 8 to 631 of the family's 1533-position model. Lineage: Bacteria; Pseudomonadati; Acidobacteriota; Terriglobia; Terriglobales; Acidobacteriaceae. The record is from RNAcentral.